AUGGAAACCCGGGGGGAGGGGAGGGGGAGGAGGAAGGGGAGGAGGGAGAGGAGGGAGAGGAGGGGGAGGAGGGGAGAGGAGGGGGAGGAGGGAGGGGAGGAGGGAGAGGAGGGGGAGGAGGGAGGGGAGGAGGGAGAGGAGGGGGAGGAGGGAGGGGGAGGAGGGAGAGGAGGGGGAGGAGGAGGGGGAGGGGGAGGAGGAGGGAAGAGGAGGGGGAGGAGGGAGGGGGAGGAGGGGGGCUUCCCCGCCGAGGCCGCCGCCUCCGCUCGCUCGGCGCUCGCAGCCCAGGCCCAGGAGGGGCCCCGCGACCCGACUCCCGGGCCCGACAGAGGAAGUUUCCCGGGCGACCCACCGGCGGGAAAAGUUGCUGGGAAACUCCGGUUGGGGUGUCCCGGAGGCGGCCCCGAGCGCCGCGCUCCCUCGGCUCCCCGGGACCCUGGGCCUGCCCCCGCCCGGCCGCCCCAACUUGGGCUAAGUCGCAGGAGGGAGGGGCUCCCGAGGACCCGCGGCGAGCCGCCCGCGCCCCCUCCGCCCGGCCCGCGCCCCGCGCCCCGCGCCCCGCGCCCCCGCCUCACCCCGCCGAGCACCUGCCGCGGCCCGCGGCGUCUCCAUGGGGCCGAGUCCCGGGGGCGAGGCCGGCGGCGCCUUUAUACGGAGCGGGCAGGUGGCGGUCGGCACCGUGACGCGGAAGCCGGCGGGGAGGCGGCCCGCGGCCCGGGAGCAGGGGGCGGAGCGGCCACCGCCCCUUCCUGCUCCGCCCCGGUCACGCCCCGGGCCCCGCCCCGGGAUGCCAGGCCCCGCCCCCGACGCUACGAGGCCCCGCCCCGGGUUGCCCGGCCCCGCCCCCCCCGCCCGGCCCCGCCCCCGCAGCCCGAGCGCGCUCGCCGGCGGGGCCCGAGGUCGGGGGCGGGGCAGGGCCGCGGCGGCCGCUACGUGCGCGGGGCGGGAGCGCACCCCCCGGGGCCCAGCCGGGCGCGCGCGGACUCCCCGGGGUGCGCUCGGCGCCGCGCGACCCCUACGCCCCGGCGGCCCCCGCUCGGCCACGGGCGCCUCGAGUGA
This 1059-nucleotide long non-coding RNA is filed under the name Canis lupus familiaris (dog). Its description in RNAcentral is "lncRNA (ENSCAFG00030016641.1)". The record is from RNAcentral. Lineage: Eukaryota; Metazoa; Chordata; Mammalia; Carnivora; Canidae.